CACAUCAAGACAAAGAGGAUUACAUAGAAAAAAAAGAUUACAUCAAAACAAAUCGAAUAAUCAUAGUGUGGAAGAACUUCUGGUAUUCAUUCUCAAGCUUUCCAUGAAACAUAUUNNNNNNNNNNNNNNNNNNNNCAUGAUUCGAUUAGAAUUAAUAGACUUGCUGAUUUGGAAAAGCUUCAUCUCGUAGUUAGCUUUUAAAUAUGGACCCAAAUGCCGAAGACACUUUAUAAUUACUAACAAUUUUUCUCGUUGUGUGUUUCUUAGUCCUUAGACUUAGUGUGUAUUUUGCUUUUUUGUUUGUCUUGUUUUUCUAUUUUUGUUGUUUUGUCUUUGUAUGUGUGCAGUAUGAGGUAAGCUCCCUUUAUUUUGAUUCGUCUCAUGGGGGUUAGUUUAGAAGCUUAUAGAGCAGCAAUCGGGAUGUUUAAUCUCCGUAAGUUAUUUGUCAUUGGAAUUGCUUUCUCUGGUCAUAGCUUUUUGUUUCUUGUUGGCGACUUCAUUAUGAUGUUGUUUAUUGCAUGUAUUUUAAUUAUUUUAUCUAAUGACGUUCAACUCAACCCGGGCCCAGUUCAAUUUUUUAAAAUAGGUCAGCUCAAUGCCAGAAGUCUGAAUUCAAGUGAUAAGUUUGAAGAAAUCUCUUUCUUAAUUAGAGAGAAUAAUUUUGAUAUUUUUGUGAUAACUGAAACAUGGCUCAAUGACCAUAUUUCUAGUGACUCUCUGGCUAUUUCCGGAUACAACACAAUUAUUCGUCUUGAUAGAGAGGGACGGGUAGGCGGAGGCGUUGCUAUUUAUACGUCCGAUUCACUUGUUGUAAAACGAAGGUCUGAUCUUGAAAUCGUAGGGUUUGAACUUCUUUGGAUAGAAUUUCGAUUAAAUCAGCACCACUUUUUAAAUCAGCACCACUUUGUAUGGCCGCCUAACAAUGAUCUUAAUUCAAUUAAUGUUUUUCUCAGUAAUUUUCAAAUAUCACCAGAUAAGAUACGUGACCUACCAAGAGAUUUCAAUUUAAUAAUUGUUGGUGACUUUAAUGCACAUUAUAAUGUUAAUUUCCCGCAGGAAAGUACUGGUAUAGGGACCCAGUUUCACAGUUUCCUAGAGGGAAAUAAUCUCACGCAAUUGAUUACAGAACCAACUCGAGUCACGAGCCAUUGUUCCUCAAUUCUAGACCUUGUUAUUACAAAUUAUCCAGCCCUUUUUACCAAUACCGGAACUUUAAGUCCUCCAUCCAACUGUGAUCAUUCCGUGGUUUUUGCUAUGAUGAAUGUUCAAAGUUUCAAAUGCCAUUCUUACAAGCGAGAGGUCUGGAAUUUUAAUAAUGUUGAUUUCCCCGCUUUGAAUAGGGAACUCUUGCAAACUAAUUGGUAUUCUCUUUUUGACAGCGCUUUUGAUAUUGACUUUGUUUACAAUACUUGGUUUUCCUAUUUCCGUUCAAUAAUUGAGAAGCA
Molecule: long non-coding RNA, 1445 nt
Filed under: Paramuricea clavata
Lineage: Eukaryota; Metazoa; Cnidaria; Anthozoa; Malacalcyonacea; Plexauridae
Source: RNAcentral